AAUAGAUACCCAGGUAGUCCACGCCGUAAACGAUGAGUGCUAAGUGUUAGGGGGUUUCCGCCCCUUAGUGCUGCAGCUAACGCAUUAAGCACUCCGCCUGGGGAGUACGGUCGCAAGACUGAAACUCAAAGGAAUUGACGGGGGCCCGCACAAGCGGUGGAGCAUGUGGUUUAAUUCGAAGCAACGCGAAGAACCUUACCAGGUCUUGACAUCCCGUUGACCACUGUAGAGAUAUAGUUUCCCCCUUCGGGGGCAACGGUGACAGGUGGUGCAUGGUUGUCGUCAGCUCGUGUCGUGAGAUGUUGGGUUAAGUCCCGCAACGAACGCAACCCUUGAUCUUAGUUGCCAUCAUUUAGUUAGGCACUCUAAGGUGACUGCCGGUGACAAACCGGAGGAAGGUGGGGAUGACGUCAAAUCAUCAUGCCCCUUAUGACCUGGGCUACACACGUGCUACAAUGGACGAUACAAACGGUUGCCAACUCGCGAGAGGGAGCUAAUCCGAUAAAGUCGUUCUCAGUUCGGAUUGUAGGCUGCAACUCGCCUA
RNAcentral lists this ribosomal RNA (544 nucleotides) under uncultured bacterium. RNAcentral's name for it is "bacterial SSU rRNA". It matches the Rfam family "Bacterial small subunit ribosomal RNA", at positions 777 to 1318 of the family's 1533-position model. The record is from RNAcentral.